RNAcentral lists this long non-coding RNA (3768 nucleotides) under Homo sapiens (human). Its description in RNAcentral is "HSALNT0407867". Lineage: Eukaryota; Metazoa; Chordata; Mammalia; Primates; Hominidae. The record is from RNAcentral.
GUUGGUAGGCUAUUUAUUACGGCCGCAACUUCAGAACUCAUUAUUGGUCUAUUCAGGGAUUCACUUUCUUCCUGGUUCAGUCCUAGGAGGUUGUAUGUGCCCAGGAAAAUAUCCGUUUCUUCUUUAUUUUCUAGUUUAUGUGUAUAGAGGUAUUUAUAGUAUUCUCUGAUGGUUUGUUGUAUUUCUAUGUGGUCAGUGGUGUUAUUUUCCUUAUCAUUUCUGAUUGUGUUUACUUGAUAAUCUUCUCUCUUUUUUUCUUUAUUAGUCUAGGUAGAAUUCUAUUUUAUUAUUUAAAAAAAAAUCCAUCUCCUGGAUUUGUUUUUUGAAGGUUUCUUUUUGUGUCUCUAUCUCUUUCAGUUCCACUCUGAUCUUGCAUAUUUCUUAUCUGCUACUAAAUUUGGCAUGUUUGUUCUUGGUUCUCUAGUUCUUUUUGUUGUGAUGUUAGGUUGCUAACUUGAGGUCUUUCUAGCAUUUUGAUGUGGGCAUUUAGUGCUAUAAAUUUCCCUCUUAACACUGCUUUAGCUGCAUCCCAGAGAUUCUGGCACAUUUUAUCUUCGUUCUCAUUUGUUUAAAGAACUUCUUGAUUUCUUUCUGCCAAGUCUGACUGGCAGACCCUGGCCAAGCAAUGGAUGAAAAAAUUUAUGCAGACACAGGUUUUUUGCCUGGCCGUGUGGCUAGGGGACCAGGCCACCCACAGACACUGAGGAGGGUGCCAUAAAGAGUCCCAGCAGCCAUGGCCCUGACAAGCCAGUGCUGCGGGGAUUUAUUUAGCACAGGUUUAAUGACAAAGGCUUUGAGUCAACGUACUUGUGGGUAAUUAACAUGGUCACCUCCCUGGAGAGAGCAGCACUGCACACAAAUGAUUAAAGGCCAGGUUCCAAGGCCUAAGUAAAGUAACUUAUCUAGAUCAAUUCCUUUACACUUCCUUGUUAUCUACCUCUUGCUCUCAGGCUCUGGAUAAGAGAAUUUGGCUGCCUUCAGUCAAAUUAUCUUUCAAAGCUUUUGCAAAACCUGGCCUUCCAAGAAGGUUUGUGUUUUUCCUAUAAUUUCUCCCACCACCCUGAAUGAUCUCCUACAUCUUCCCCUUUUCUUUUUUUUUUUUUUUUUUUUUUUGCAUCAGGAAUUUUGUUGAUUGAAGAGUACAGAUGUGUGCAGCAAUGUAACUAUGAAUCUUUUGUGUCCGACCUGGGACAGGGCACGUUCUAAGGUGGUAAGAGCAGAGGAGCCUUGCCAAUCGCAUGUCAAAUUGACUGGCAGGAAUGCCUUAGAUUGUCUCCUUAAUACCAUGACACUUGCAAUUUAAAUUAGAUAUAUUGUAAUUAGUGAUACAAGAGGCGAACCAAGCCUGUCCCUGCACUCAGGUCACAAACGUGGAGUUUUGGGAUGUAAUGGAAAUAUUGGUUCCCAUAAGGAAAACAUAUGGUUGGGUAGUGCAAAUCAGGCACUGAUCAGUGUGAUUAUGAAAAAAUGUCAUAGUGUAAUUGUGACUGGAAUUAUAUGUCCCAUGCCAGGUGUUAAGGGAGGUGCUAAGAUGUCCCAGGCACCAUAAAGUGUCUUGGGGUGGCAUGGACUCUACUUGGGGUCUGGGAUACCCCAUUACCCUAUCGGCCCAAAUUAUAGGGGAGCAGGACGUGGCUACGAAACUGUCAUUGAUGCCAUGAUAGACGCGGACAUCAGUAUGAUCACCCUGAAAUGGCUGUGGGAGCUCCAGUCUAAGAUGUUAUAAUUGCCUAACUGGAGGCUACGGGCUUGUCCCCCAAGACAGACCUCCCAGCCAAAGUGGAAUCCAUUACUUUCUUGGCUUUGUUCUUUAGCACAGGGAGGAAUGCUGGGGAAAGUAGCAUUGGUGGCAUUGCCCAGUUUGAGGCUACCUGCAACUAAGACUGUUAAGGCAUUUCCUUUACCAUGAUGUAGCCAUAAUUGUGUUUGGGCAGGUACACAGUAAGGGUUAGAACUUUUAUAAUUUACACACAGUAGGAGGAUAGUGGAGUGAUAUGUAGUGUUACCUGGCACCUUAGUCCAAUGUGUGCCAUUAAUGAGGGACCCCACUGGGGGUAAAUCUAUUCCUCCUAGCCAAGCAGUUACAUUAUUAGAGGCUGGAAAGGGGGUGUCUGCCCAGGUGACAGGGCGGAAGAAAGGCGGAUGCAAGGUAUGAGCCCAAUAGAGUGUAGCAGGUACAGGUUGCAGACAAAGCAAGAGCAUAAAAAGGAUUAAUACCCUACGCGAGUUGCAGUGUACAACAGAGAGCAUAGCAAGGAACAGAUUAUCUGGAGUGAAUGGUGUCUUGUGUCCAGAGCAGAAUUUGCUCAGCCUCCAGAGUUGUCUUCUUCAGCAUCCCCCAGAUAAUGUCCAGGGCUUGUGUCGUCCAAGGGAGCUGCAUCGUCUGGGUCUGCAGAUCCUGCAGGGUCAUUUUCUUCAUUUCUGGUACCGGGUUGGGUCCUAGCCACGCCAUGGUAUGGUUUGAUGCAUCGUGCUGGAAUCCAAAGAGGACCUGAGGGGGUAUGAACACAAGCAUAUCCUCUUCCCCACAUUAACAAAUUAUUUGGACCACACCAUACAUUACUGUUUAUGUCUUUCCAUAAAACGGUGGGCUUUAUGUCUUGAGAGGUUUUAGCAAAGUGCUUUUCUACAGCUGAUUGAAAUUUAUCAUUUAAAUUUAAGAAAUCAAGGGUAAAUAAGGCUUGUGCUAGUGGUGUUGCAGGGUCCUUACUCAUAGUCCUCCUUUUUUGUUUUUUGAGCAUAUUUUUAAGGGUGGCGUGGGUACGUUCUACUAUGGCCUGUCCUUGGGGGUUAUACAGGAUGCUUGUGGAAUGUUGGAUGUUCCAUGUGUGACAAAAUUGUUGAAAUUGUGAGCUGGCAUAAGCCAUACCAUUGUCAGUUUUAAUUUUUGUGGGCCGCCCCAUAAAGGCAAAAGUUAAAAGAAGAUGUUUAAUGACGUGUCAGGUGGACUCUCCAGGAAAGGCAUGAGUGCUAAUUAAGUGAGAAUCAUUAUCAACAGAUACAUGAACAUAUCUUAGUUUUCAAAUUCAGGGAUGUGUGUAACAUCUGUUUGCCAUAACUAAUUAGGUUCUAGUCCUCUAGGGUUAACACCUCUUGAAGGAGGGGACAUGCCUGUGAGCUGGCAAUCUGGGCAUUGCAGGAUAAUUUAUUUAGCUAGUCUCUGGGUAAGUUGAAAUUGUUAAGUUUCUCCAAUUUUGGUGGAAAAAUUGAUGCAAUUGGGUGGCUUGAUCAAACAAUGAUGUCAUAACUUGUAAGUCUGCUUGAUCAUUGCCAUUAGCCAAUGGGCCAGGCAGUGAGCUGUGGGCUCAAAUAUGUGAUAUUUGGAUGUGUACAUUGAUCUAGCAGUUGCUGAAGUCGAAGAAAAAGUGCACACAGGGUGGGCUCCAGAGUGGACUUCAUGAGGGCUGUUUCAAGGUUCUGCAGUAAAUAAACAGAAUAAGCAGAGUCACUAACAAUAUUGAUGGGCUGAGCAGAAAAAGUUUCCAGGGCUCCAACUUCAGCUCUGAGUGCUAGUAAAUCCAGAAUGAGUGAGGGAAUUAUGCGGUCUCCACCAAACAGCCACUUUUCCAUGUUUACCAGAGUCAUUCGUAAACAGUGUUAAAGCGUUAGGUAUGGGGGAGUGAAAUAUUUUUGUAGGCAAAACCACAGAAGUAUGCUAGAUGAUGAGUUAGUGGGUUCAGCGCACCAGCAUGGCACAUGUAUACAUAUGUAACUAACCUGCACACUGUGCACAUGUACCCUAAAACUUAAAGUAUAAUAAUAAAAAAA